This 465-nucleotide ribosomal RNA is filed under the name uncultured bacterium. Its description in RNAcentral is "partial 16S ribosomal RNA". It matches the Rfam family "Bacterial small subunit ribosomal RNA", at positions 28 to 507 of the family's 1533-position model. The record is from RNAcentral.
GAUGAACGCUGGCGGCGUGCUUAACACAUGCAAGUCGAACGGAAAGGCCCAAGCUUGCUUGGGUACUCGAGUGGCGAACGGGUGAGUAACACGUGGGUGAUCUGCCCUGCACUUCGGGAUAAGCCUGGGAAACUGGGUCUAAUACCGGAUAGGAGCACAUGUUGGAUGGUGUGGUGGAAAGUUUUUCGGUGUGGGAUGAGCUCGCGGCCUAUCAGCUUGUUGGUGGGGUAAUGGCCUACCAAGGCGUCGACGGGUAGCCGGCCUGAGAGGGUGUACGCCCACAUUGGGCCUGAGAUACGGCCCAGACUCCUACGGGAGGCAGCAGUGGGGAAUAUUGCACAAUGGGCGCACGCCUGAUGCAGCGACGCCGCGUGGGGGAUGCCGGCCUUCGGGUUGUAAACUCCUUUCGCUAGGGACGAAGCGCAAGUGACGGUACCUGGAGAAGAAGCACCGGCUAACUACGUG